AGUUCACAUAUUAAAU
This 16-nucleotide small RNA is filed under the name Arabidopsis thaliana (thale cress). Its description in RNAcentral is "ATSL131520". The record is from RNAcentral. Lineage: Eukaryota; Viridiplantae; Streptophyta; Magnoliopsida; Brassicales; Brassicaceae.